Non-coding RNA from Peromyscus maniculatus bairdii (prairie deer mouse), 546 nucleotides. Lineage: Eukaryota; Metazoa; Chordata; Mammalia; Rodentia; Cricetidae. The record is from RefSeq and is a predicted model, not a curated record.
GCGAAAACCGCCUUCUCUAAAACCCGUUACCACCGCUCCUUGCGGCCCACCUGCUCUGCCCUUGGAGACUUCCAAGUCCAGACCAAAAGCACCGGUGAUCAGUGGAGAGCCGGGCCCUCUAAUCUUAACCCAAAGCAGCCAGGUCUAUCCGAAAGGCUUGUUCAAAUAAAAAAAAGUACAAAAGGGCAGGCAGUCUGGAUGCUGGGACCCGGCUUCAGGGAAGGGGCUUUCCCACUCGGAAAAUGGUCUGUCUCCUGGAAGCAAGGGAUUCGUUCCUGUUUCCUGAAGAUCCUGCUGCAGAACUUUCCUGCUGUGAUGUCCCUAGCCAGCUGGUGGGUCCCUAAACCAGCAGCAUUUCCAGGUCUGUCAAGAUGGUAAGGGCUGGAGAUGUAGCUCAAUGAAAGAUCACUUGUAUCACAGGAAAAAGGUUCAAUUCCCAGUAAUGGAAAAAAAAAAAAAAGCCCAAUUCCUCAUUAAGUUAGGCAUGGAAGAUUGCCACAAGUUUAAGGCCUGUCUGGGUUACCCAGUGAGACCUUGUCUCAAAAA